This 2930-nucleotide ribosomal RNA is filed under the name Escherichia coli. Its description in RNAcentral is "bacterial LSU rRNA". It matches the Rfam family "Bacterial large subunit ribosomal RNA". Lineage: Bacteria; Pseudomonadati; Pseudomonadota; Gammaproteobacteria; Enterobacterales; Enterobacteriaceae. The record is from RNAcentral.
GGGUUGUGAGGUUAAGCGACUAAGCGUACACGGUGGAUGCCCUGGCAGUCAGAGGCGAUGAAGGACGUGCUAAUCUGCGAUAAGCGUCGGUAAGGUGAUAUGAACCGUUAUAACCGGCGAUUUCCGAAUGGGGAAACCCAGUGUGAUUCGUCACACUAUCAUUAACUGAAUCCAUAGGUUAAUGAGGCGAACCGGGGGAACUGAAACAUCUAAGUACCCCGAGGAAAAGAAAUCAACCGAGAUUCCCCCAGUAGCGGCGAGCGAACGGGGAGCAGCCCAGAGCCUGAAUCAGUGUGUGUGUUAGUGGAAGCGUCUGGAAAGGCGCGCGAUACAGGGUGACAGCCCCGUACACAAAAAUGCACAUACUGUGAGCUCGAUGAGUAGGGCGGGACACGUGGUAUCCUGUCUGAAUAUGGGGGACCAUCCUCCAAGGCUAAAUACUCCUGACUGACCGAUAGUGAACCAGUACCGUGAGGGAAAGGCGAAAAGAACCCCGGCGAGGGGAGUGAAAAAGAACCUGAAACCGUGUACGUACAAGCAGUGGGAGCACAGAGCAAUCUGUGUGACUGCGUACCUUUUGUAUAAUGGGUCAGCGACUUAUAUUCUGUAGCAAGGUUAACCGAAUAGGGGAGCCGAAGGGAAACCGAGUCUUAACUGGGCGUUAAGUUGCAGGGUAUAGACCCGAAACCCGGUGAUCUAGCCAUGGGCAGGUUGAAGGUUGGGUAACACUAACUGGAGGACCGAACCGACUAAUGUUGAAAAAUUAGCGGAUGACUUGUGGCUGGGGGUGAAAGGCCAAUCAAACCGGGAGAUAGCUGGUUCUCCCCGAAAGCUAUUUAGGUAGCGCCUCGUGAAUUCAUCUCCGGGGGUAGAGCACUGUUUCGGCAAGGGGGUCAUCCCGACUUACCAACCCGAUGCAAACUGCGAAUACCGGAGAAUGUUAUCACGGGAGACACACGGCGGGUGCUAACGUCCGUCGUGAAGAGGGAAACAACCCAGACCGCCAGCUAAGGUCCCAAAGUCAUGGUUAAGUGGGAAACGAUGUGGGAAGGCCCAGACAGCCAGGAUGUUGGCUUAGAAGCAGCCAUCAUUUAAAGAAAGCGUAAUAGCUCACUGGUCGAGUCGGCCUGCGCGGAAGAUGUAACGGGGCUAAACCAUGCACCGAAGCUGCGGCAGCGACGCUUAUGCGUUGUUGGGUAGGGGAGCGUUCUGUAAGCCUGCGAAGGUGUGCUGUGAGGCAUGCUGGAGGUAUCAGAAGUGCGAAUGCUGACAUAAGUAACGAUAAAGCGGGUGAAAAGCCCGCUCGCCGGAAGACCAAGGGUUCCUGUCCAACGUUAAUCGGGGCAGGGUGAGUCGACCCCUAAGGCGAGGCCGAAAGGCGUAGUCGAUGGGAAACAGGUUAAUAUUCCUGUACUUGGUGUUACUGCGAAGGGGGACGGAGAAGGCUAUGUUGGCCGGGCGACGGUUGUCCCGGUUUAAGCGUGUAGGCUGGUUUUCCAGGCAAAUCCGGAAAAUCAAGGCUGAGGCGUGAUGACGAGGCACUACGGUGCUGAAGCAACAAAUGCCCUGCUUCCAGGAAAAGCCUCUAAGCAUCAGGUAACAUCAAAUCGUACCCCAAACCGACACAGGUGGUCAGGUAGAGAAUACCAAGGCGCUUGAGAGAACUCGGGUGAAGGAACUAGGCAAAAUGGUGCCGUAACUUCGGGAGAAGGCACGCUGAUAUGUAGGUGAAGUCCCUCGCGGAUGGAGCUGAAAUCAGUCGAAGAUACCAGCUGGCUGCAACUGUUUAUUAAAAACACAGCACUGUGCAAACACGAAAGUGGACGUAUACGGUGUGACGCCUGCCCGGUGCCGGAAGGUUAAUUGAUGGGGUCAGCGCAAGCGAAGCUCUUGAUCGAAGCCCCGGUAAACGGCGGCCGUAACUAUAACGGUCCUAAGGUAGCGAAAUUCCUUGUCGGGUAAGUUCCGACCUGCACGAAUGGCGUAAUGAUGGCCAGGCUGUCUCCACCCGAGACUCAGUGAAAUUGAACUCGCUGUGAAGAUGCAGUGUACCCGCGGCAAGACGGAAAGACCCCGUGAACCUUUACUAUAGCUUGACACUGAACAUUGAGCCUUGAUGUGUAGGAUAGGUGGGAGGCUUUGAAGUGUGGACGCCAGUCUGCAUGGAGCCGACCUUGAAAUACCACCCUUUAAUGUUUGAUGUUCUAACGUUGACCCGUGAUCCGGGUUGCGGACAGUGUCUGGUGGGUAGUUUGACUGGGGCGGUCUCCUCCUAAAGAGUAACGGAGGAGCACGAAGGUUGGCUAAUCCUGGUCGGACAUCAGGAGGUUAGUGCAAUGGCAUAAGCCAGCUUGACUGCGAGCGUGACGGCGCGAGCAGGUGCGAAAGCAGGUCAUAGUGAUCCGGUGGUUCUGAAUGGAAGGGCCAUCGCUCAACGGAUAAAAGGUACUCCGGGGAUAACAGGCUGAUACCGCCCAAGAGUUCAUAUCGACGGCGGUGUUUGGCACCUCGAUGUCGGCUCAUCACAUCCUGGGGCUGAAGUAGGUCCCAAGGGUAUGGCUGUUCGCCAUUUAAAGUGGUACGCGAGCUGGGUUUAGAACGUCGUGAGACAGUUCGGUCCCUAUCUGCCGUGGGCGCUGGAGAACUGAGGGGGCUGCUCCUAGUACGAGAGGACCGGAGUGGACGCAUCACUGGUGUUCGGGUUGUCAUGCCAAUGGCACUGCCCGGUAGCUAAAUGCGGAAGAGAUAAGUGCUGAAAGCAUCUAAGCACGAAACUUGCCCCGAGAUGAGUUCUCCCUGACUCCUUGAGAGUCCUGAAGGAACGUUGAAGACGACGACGUUGAUAGGCCGGGUGUGUAAGCGCAGCGAUGCGUUGAGCUAACCGGUACUAAUGAACCGUGAGGCUUAACCUUACAACGCCGAAGGUGUUU